This 237-nucleotide ribosomal RNA is filed under the name uncultured soil bacterium. RNAcentral's name for it is "partial 16S ribosomal RNA". It matches the Rfam family "Bacterial small subunit ribosomal RNA", at positions 26 to 265 of the family's 1533-position model. The record is from RNAcentral.
AGAUUGAACGCUGGCGGAAUGCUUUACACAUGCAAGUCGAACGGCAGCACGGGGGCAACCCUGGUGGCGAGUGGCGAACGGGUGAGUAAUACAUCGGAACGUGCCCAGUCGUGGGGGAUAACUACGCGAAAGCGUAGCUAAUACCGCAUACGAUCUACGGAUGAAAGCGGGGGAUCGCAAGACCUCGCGCGAUUGGAGCGGCCGAUGGCAGAUUAGGUAGUUGGUGGGGUAAAGGCU